ACGAACGCUGGCGGCGCGCCUCACCCCUGCAAGUCGAACGAGCGAGAGAGAGCUUGCUUUCUCAAGCGAGUGGCGAACGGGUGAGUAACGCGUGAGGAACCUGCCUCAAAGAGGGGGACAACAGUUGGAAACGACUGCUAAUACCGCAUAAGCCCACGACCCGGCAUCGGGUAGAGGGAAAAGGAGCAAUCCGCUUUGAGAUGGCCUCGCGUCCGAUUAGCUAGUUGGUGAGGUAACGGCCCACCAAGGCGACGAUCGGUAGCCGGACUGAGAGGUUGAACGGCCACAUUGGGACUGAGACACGGCCCAGACUCCUACGGGAGGCAGCAGUGGGGAAUAUUGCACAAUGGGGGAAACCCUGAUGCAGCGACGCCGCGUGGAGGAAGAAGGUCUUCGGAUUGUAAACUCCUGUUGUUGAGGAAGAUAAUGACGGUACUCAACAAGGAAGUGACGGCUAACUACGUG
RNAcentral lists this ribosomal RNA (465 nucleotides) under uncultured bacterium. RNAcentral's name for it is "partial 16S ribosomal RNA". It matches the Rfam family "Bacterial small subunit ribosomal RNA", at positions 29 to 507 of the family's 1533-position model. The record is from RNAcentral.